Long non-coding RNA from Bos taurus (domestic cattle), 1378 nucleotides. The record is from Ensembl. Lineage: Eukaryota; Metazoa; Chordata; Mammalia; Artiodactyla; Bovidae.
ACCGUAAUAGCCACAGCCGGAGCGAGUCCGCUGAGGAGAAACGCAGAUCUGGCCACCUGCUUUGAGACGCCUUGGACCACGACACUGCCGGGGUCUUUAAAGGCUGGCCUUUUCGGGUAGGGCAUCUGCCCUCCUAAAUCGCCUUAAGAUUCCAGGAAAAGAGAGAAGAUGCCUCUCUCAGUCUUUGAACUAUGCUGCUCUUCCUGUAUCCAUUUCUGCUGAACACAGCCUUAUCUUUUCAAAGAGAAAAAAAGAUAAAAACAAGAGGAGAAUUGCACCACUGCAGAUCCCAAGAGAAGUAAGCACAAAACUACAGCAACGUCAAAUAAUAUCUUCAGCAACUAGGAAAAUCCCCACAUGCUGUCUGGUGUCAGCCCAAUGCAGACUGGGGUGCGCUGUGCCCGGAAUCACAGGAAGCCGGGCAGCUCUGCAGCCUGUGUCCCUGCCAGCUCCCCCCACGCGCUGAAAUUCGCCAGGAAGAACUUAUGAUGCCCAGCUUCUGUAUGCAAGACAGGCAGGCAGACCACGCACCCAACACUCCGCGACUCGGCCAAGGGGCCGCGACAUCAAAAAGGCAGAGCCAUCAGAAGGCACGGGAGGCACGGGGGUUUGAGCCCUCGGAUUUUGCUGCAUUGUCACGAACUAGGAAUGUAGGGGUAGGAGCAACUGCACCUCCAGCCAAAAAUGGACCGGACGCGUUUUUCCCGGCGGCGCCCUCCCCGCCCGUGUGCAGGUCGCAAUACGGUGAAAAAAACCCUCCAAGAACAAACUAAUGCAGGCUGCAGCAGUAAACAGCAAUAUCAACCAACUGUGUGAUGUUUCCAACCAGAGCUUACAUAAAAACAAGGACUCUGCAUAAACCAGCAUCCACGAUUUCUGAAUUAGCACAGGAUCACCAAACCAUAAUAAAGGAUAAUCCCUUUAAUUAAUAAAAGCCAAUAUUUCAUAAUAACUAUAAAGAGAAAGUAACCUUUAAAAAUUAUAUCUUUUUUUUUUUAAAAGAGAGAACCAAUGACAAGAUUUUGGAGAAAACCAGUAAACCAUUCUUCCCAAAUUAAAAAAAAAGGAUAAUUCUUUGCCUCCACUAAUUACCAGGAUGUUCACCUCAUUGCUUUCAGUGAUGAAGCAUCAACUUGGCUCAGAGAUCCUUCUCUCUGUUCUCUCUGUCAAGGAGAUAAAUUGACAAGUUAUAUCUCUCAUAAAAGUUACUGAUGCAACAAUUCUGAGAUGUGCUUUAUUUGUGCUUUAUAAGAAGUGAAGAGCUUCUUUUCUUAUACUGAAGGCAAAAGUACACAAAGUUUCCCAUUUUCACGUGUUGAAUAGGUAAAGUCCUUGUCAAGCUCCUUCUACACGCCAAGUCCAGUGGCAACAUACACAC